UCGAGCGGACAGAUGGGAGCUUGCUCCCUGAUGUUAGCGGCGGACGGGUGAGUAACACGUGGGUAACCUGCCUGUAAGACUGGGAUAACUCCGGGAAACCGGGGCUAAUACCGGAUGCUUGAUUGAACCGCAUGGUUCAAUUAUAAAAGGUGGCUUUUAGCUACCACUUACAGAUGGACCCGCGGCGCAUUAGCUAGUUGGUGAGGUAACGGCUCACCAAGGCAACGAUGCGUAGCCGACCUGAGAGGGUGAUCGGCCACACUGGGACUGAGACACGGCCCAGACUCCUACGGGAGGCAGCAGUAGGGAAUCUUCCGCAAUGGACGAAAGUCUGACGGAGCAACGCCGCGUGAGUGAUGAAGGUUUUCGGAUCGUAAAACUCUGUUGUUAGGGAAGAACAAGUACCGUUCGAAUAGGGCGGUACCUUGACGGUACCUAACCAGAAAGCCACGGCUAACUACGUGCCAGCAGCCGCGGUAAUACGUAGGUGGCAAGCGUUGUCCGGAAUUAUUGGGCGUAAAGCGCGCGCAGGCGGUUUCUUAAGUCUGAUGUGAAAGCCCCCGGCUCAACCGGGGAGGGUCAUUGGAAACUGGGGAACUUGAGUGCAGAAGAGGAGAGUGGAAUUCCACGUGUAGCGGUGAAAUGCGUAGAGAUGUGGAGGAACACCAGUGGCGAAGGCGACUCUCUGGUCUGUAACUGACGCUGAGGCGCGAAAGCGUGGGGAGCGAACAGGAUUAGAUACCCUGGUAGUCCACGCCGUAAACGAUGAGUGCUAAGUGUUAGAGGGUUUCCGCCCUUU
RNAcentral lists this ribosomal RNA (799 nucleotides) under uncultured bacterium. RNAcentral describes it as "bacterial SSU rRNA". It matches the Rfam family "Bacterial small subunit ribosomal RNA", at positions 62 to 841 of the family's 1533-position model. The record is from RNAcentral.